Oreochromis aureus is the source of this 1401-nucleotide long non-coding RNA. The record is from Ensembl. Lineage: Eukaryota; Metazoa; Chordata; Actinopteri; Cichliformes; Cichlidae.
AAACAACUUGGUAUUACCCAUGGUUAUGUUGGGCCCAGCAUAGCUCUCGAGUAUGAAGACCAGCUGAACUUGUCAGUGUCUAAAAGCAGCUAUUAUCAAUGUAAUCUUUUAAUUUUACAAUAAAAUGUUCAUUGUAGCAUCAACAAAAGUGUAGAUAAAUAAAGGUAAACAAUAAGCAGUGUCUGUAUCAUACGAAUACAAUCCUAACAAUAUAUAUCCCUAAUUAUGGGCAUAAAUAUUUAACUUUAAGGCACAAAUCUGACCAAAGGAGUAGGGCUUGUUGGGUUUUUUUAUUUAGCUUUGUUGUGUCUCUCCUACAGUUCCAGUCGGUAGGCAUGCAUCAACAAGACACUUUCAGGAGCCAUGGCAUGAGAAGCAUGAGGACGAACUCUACAUGGAAAUCAAACAGAACGAACACCUAUCGGCAGGCCGGCUCAUCAUUUUACCAACGUUCUUUAAGCCUUCGAUCGGCUGACCGCAUUGAAGACCAUAUCAACAGGAGAUGUAACGAGGUUGAUGGAAAUGUUGUUGACCACCCAGCAUACCAACCCCGCAGCUAUGCCUUUGAAGGAGAGGGCAGCAUAUGUCAGUCAUUGGAUAAACUGUCAUUCCACGACAUGGGAGAGGAUUUUCAGUAUCUGGAUGAUUUGGGGCCAAAGUUCAAGACCUUGGGACAGAUGUAUGAUGAGGCAAUUAAAAAAAAGAAAGUACAGCUUUAAAAGGCACUGCUGAAAUGUAAAUUGUAUUCCAAGUUUCGCUCCCUAAAAUACAGACUGAGCAGAGAUGAUACACCACUACGUUUUAAUAUUUUUACUUAAAGAUUAUGGACUAUAACAUCUAAUUCAUCCUAAGCCAGGUAUAUUUUGUUGGCAUUAAGAUGGAUUUAAUGCACUGCACAGCUGGUGACGCACUAGUGGUUUGUGAAAUGUAUUAACUUGAAAGGGAUUAGGUGUGUUUUCUUGUUUUUUUAGUUUGCUUUGUCAGGGCAGUAUUAUUGGGAAAUUUAACAGAACUUCUUUUGUUGAAACUGAGAUGACUGCUGUUAGUCACAUUUUUCUAGAGUACUGUUUUGUAAAGGAUUAUUGAUGACAACACAGGGCUCAUCAUAAUGGGUUAUUGUUCCUGCAAGCUGUAAAUGUCCUUGGCCUAUUGUUGAUGAUUGAGUUACAUACUGGUCUGGAAUUAACACUGGAUAUCCUACAACAUUAAAAUGUUAAUUCUCUGUUUAGUUUUCGUAUUUGCAUUUCAUGAUACAAAAAUAACAAACUUUAUUUCUGUAACACCUCUCUAAACCAGUCACAAAGUGCUUCAAAUACUUUACAGAAAUAACACAUUUAAAAAAUACAUAAUAAAAUGAAUGGCAUUGAAAAUAAAAAAUGAAAAUAAAAAUGAAAUAAAAAA